UACGUAUGGUGCAAGCGUUAUCCGGAUUUACUGGGCGUAAAGGGAGCGCAGGCGGUGCGCCAAGUCUGAUGUGAAACCCCGGGGCACAACCCCGGGCAUGCAUUGGAAACUGGCGGGCUGGAGUGCCGGAGAGGUAAGCGGAAUUCCUAGUGUAGCGGUGAAAUGCGUAGAUAUUAGGAGGAACACCAGUGGCGAAGGCGGCUUACUGGACGGCAACUGACGCUGAGGCUCGAAAGCGUGGGGAGCAAACAGG
Molecule: ribosomal RNA, 253 nt
Filed under: uncultured bacterium
Lineage: Bacteria
Description: partial 16S ribosomal RNA
Rfam family: Bacterial small subunit ribosomal RNA
Source: RNAcentral